GGAUAAGAGUUCCCUGACCCGAAUAGUAGACCCGACGACCCGCGAUUGGGUCUGAUCCGAAAUCGAUCCUCCGGCCACCUCUAAGCGUCGAACCACCAGUGAUAGCUUCCUCUCCUCAGCGCCAACAACCCUGUGGCCUUGGAUUAUCUAUGCAUUGAAUGAAGGUGAAGAAUUGACCACUGGAAGCUUUGAGUUUUCUCCGGCGAAUUUCUGCAAAUUCUGACGGCUCUGGCCACCGAUUAAGCUACAUGUGUUUCGCUGUGUUCUUCGACACCAGGGACUUUCUGGCACUUCUAGGCUUGCUUGCUACAUGAAAGACGGUCUAUUCUCCGUACACUACACGCUGGUGUGCAUGAUCUUCUAAUUCGAUCAAUUUUGGAGAAGCUAUGUUUGGGUGCACUCGUCCUCCACCAAGGUUCUAUUCCAGUGACUUUUCUGGUUUGUUUUUUGACUCAAUUUUAGUAUUAGGGUAUGGAUUGAGGCUUAGUUAUGUUGAAUACAGAAUUGGGAAUUAGUUGAACUGGUUCUGACUUGUUGUGUUCUUCGACGGACGCAGACAUGCAAAAUUUUGGGUUCUGAUCUUGAUCAAAUUUGAUUACAAAGUGAGUUGGAUUCUGUUUGAAAGCUCUAAAGUUUGCUUCGUGUAGUCAACUUCUGGAAAUGAGUUGCCAUGCUCGUACUCUUACAAUGAAUUCAAGUUGAGCUUA
This 707-nucleotide long non-coding RNA is filed under the name Rosa chinensis. Its description in RNAcentral is "sRNA RchiOBHm_Chr1g0325861". The record is from RNAcentral. Lineage: Eukaryota; Viridiplantae; Streptophyta; Magnoliopsida; Rosales; Rosaceae.